This 511-nucleotide ribosomal RNA is filed under the name uncultured bacterium. RNAcentral's name for it is "partial 16S ribosomal RNA". It matches the Rfam family "Bacterial small subunit ribosomal RNA", at positions 28 to 523 of the family's 1533-position model. The record is from RNAcentral.
GACGAACGCUGGCGGCGUGCCUAAUACAUGCAAGUAGAACGCUGAAGGAGGAGCUUACUUCUCUGGAUGAGUUGCGAACGGGUGAGUAACGCGUAGGUAACCUGCCUGGUAGCGGGGGAUAACUAUUGGAAACGAUAGCUAAUACCGCAUAAGAGUAGAUGUUGCAUGACAUUUACUUAAAAGGUGCAAUUGCACCACUACCAGAUGGACCUGCGUUGUAUUAGCUAGUUGGUGGGGUAACGGCUUACCAAGGCGACGACACAUAGCCGACCUGAGAGGGUGAUCGGCCACACUGGGACUGAGACACGGCCCAGACUCCUACGGGAGGCAGCAGUAGGGAAUCUUCGGCAAUGGACGGAAGUCUGACCGAGCAACGCCGCGUGAGUGAAGAAGGUUUUCGGAUCGUAAAGCUCUGUUGUAAGAGAAGAACGAGUGUGAGAGUGGAAAGUUCACACUGUGACGGUAUCUUACCAGAAAGGUACGGCUAACUACGUGCCAGCCGCCGCAGUAA